GCCCUGGGGCCCCUCCCUCCCCCCCCCCUCCUGGAACGCGAGGAGCGACCACACCGGCCGGGGCUCCAGCUCCGGGGGCAGCUCCCCGCCAGUAACGCCCUGGCCUGGUGCUGGGGGCCGGGGUGCUGCUCCGCACAGCGUGGGGGCGCCCCGUGGGGGGAGGGUCCUCCCCGGCCUGUGCCCUCCCGCCUUCCCCCCCAGGGUCCUCCCUAUCCCGCACCCUCCCCCCUCCACCCUCCCAGGGGAGCGCAGGAUCCCGGCUGUGUGCCCCCAAGCGACCUGGGAUCCGGGCCCUGUGCUGCUGGACCCGCUCGGUGCCCCCUCUGCCGCCUCUCCCUCCGCCCGGAGGCCCCCCCAGGGAUCGGGGCUCAGCCCCCUCCGCCCGGAGCCCCCCCAGGGAUCGGGGCUCAGCCCCCUCCGCCCGGAGCCCCCCCAGGGAUCCGGGCUCAGCCCCCUCUGCCCGGAGUCCCCUCAGGGAUCGGGGCUCAGCCCGCUCCGCCCGGAGCCCCCCCCCAGGGAUCGGGGCUCAGCCCCCUCCGACCGGAGCCCCCCCCAGGGAUCGGGGCUCAGCCCCCUCCGUCCGGAGCACCCCCCCAAGGGAUCGGGGCUCAGCCCCCUCCGCCCGGAGCCCCCCCCCAGGGAUCGGGGCUCAGCCCCCUCCGCCCGGAGCCCCCCCAGGGAUCGGGGCUCAGCCCCCUCUGCCCGGAGCCCCCCCCCGGGGAUCGGGGCUCAGCCCCCUCCGCCCGGAGCCCCCCCCAGGGAUCGGGGCUCAGCCCCCUCCGCCCGGAGCCCCCCCCGGGAUCGGGGCUCAGUCCCCUCCGACCGGAGCCCCCCCAGGGAUCGGGGCUCAGCCCCCUCCGCCCGGAGCCCCCCCCAGGGAUCGGGGCUCAGCCCCCUCCGCCCGGAGCCCCCCCAGGGAUCGGGGCUCAGCCCCCUCCGCCCGGAGCCCCCCCCGGGAUCGGGGCUCAGUCCCCUCCGACCGGAGCCCCCCCAGGGAUCGGGGCUCAGCCCCCUCCGCCCAGAGCCCCCCCCAGGGAUCCGGGCUCAGCCCCCUCCGCCCGGAGCCCCCCCACUUCUCCCCGGGCCCCCCCAAUUCUCCCCGAGGCCCCGGGGCCGCGCUCCAGCCCUUCACCGAGACCCCGCGGGGUGGGUGCGCUUCCCCCCGCGCCCUCCUCCCCUGGUGACCCGGGGCUGGAGGCGUCACCCCCUCCUGGGCCCCCCCAUUUCCCCGCUGAGCACUGUUCCGUCGGGGAAGAGCCGGGAGGAUUGUUAGAGCCCCCCGGCCCGGCCCGGCCUCCUGCCCGACGCCCCCCCGCCGGCUCCUCGGGGCCCCUCCCCGCUUGCUUCUCAUUUAUCCAUUUUGCCCGCGCUCCUCCCUUGUUGGCGGCGACCCCGUCCGUGUGGCGUCGGGGCGUCCUCCUGCUGCUCAGGUGCGCUGCCGGGCGUCCGGGAGGCGGGGAGUGGGGGUGCGCCGGGCUGAGGAGCCGGCGGGGUGAGCCCCUGCUCUCCUGCCCUCUUGCCCGCCCUGUGAAGUUAACCUUAAUAAGCAUCAGAAAAACCUGGGCUGUUUUGCCAAAAGUCCUGAGUUUCUUGAAAGAAAUAUAUUCUCAUGCUUAUAGAAAUGUUAAAUAA
RNAcentral lists this long non-coding RNA (1632 nucleotides) under Canis lupus dingo (dingo). Its description in RNAcentral is "lncRNA (ENSCAFG00020011977.1)". The record is from RNAcentral. Lineage: Eukaryota; Metazoa; Chordata; Mammalia; Carnivora; Canidae.